RNAcentral lists this ribosomal RNA (497 nucleotides) under uncultured bacterium. RNAcentral's name for it is "partial 16S ribosomal RNA". It matches the Rfam family "Bacterial small subunit ribosomal RNA", at positions 28 to 507 of the family's 1533-position model. The record is from RNAcentral.
GAUGAACGCUGGCGGCGUGCCUAAUACAUGCAAGUCGAGCGAACAGACGAGGAGCUUGCUCCUCUGACGUUAGCGGCGGACGGGUGAGUAACACGUGGAUAACCUACCUAUAAGACUGGGAUAACUUCGGGAAACCGGAGCUAAUACCGGAUAAUAUAUUGAACCGCAUGGUUCAAUAGUGAAAGACGGUUUUGCUGUCACUUAUAGAUGGAUCCGCGCCGCAUUAGCUAGUUGGUAAGGUAACGGCUUACCAAGGCAACGAUGCGUAGCCGACCUGAGAGGGUGAUCGGCCACACUGGAACUGAGACACGGUCCAGACUCCUACGGGAGGCAGCAGUAGGGAAUCUUCCGCAAUGGGCGAAAGCCUGACGGAGCAGCGCCGCGUGAGUGAUGAAGGUCUUCGGAUCGUAAAACUCUGUUAUUAGGGAAGAACAAAUGUGUAAGUAACUAUGCACGUCUUGACGGUACCUAAUCAGAAAGCCACGGCUAACUACGUG